RNAcentral lists this transfer RNA (69 nucleotides) under Harpactes ardens. RNAcentral describes it as "tRNA-Gln". The record is from RNAcentral. Lineage: Eukaryota; Metazoa; Chordata; Aves; Trogoniformes; Trogonidae.
UUAAAAAAAGAGGAAUCGAACCUUCCCCGAGAGAUCAAAACCCUUCAUACUUCCUUUAUAUUACUUUCU